RNAcentral lists this ribosomal RNA (253 nucleotides) under uncultured bacterium. RNAcentral describes it as "partial 16S ribosomal RNA". It matches the Rfam family "Bacterial small subunit ribosomal RNA", at positions 524 to 776 of the family's 1533-position model. The record is from RNAcentral.
UACAGAGGUCCCGAGCGUUGUUCGGAUUCACUGGGCGUAAAGGGUGCGUAGGUGGUGAGGUAAGUCGGAUGUGAAAUCUCCGGGCUCAACCCGGAAAUGGCAUUGGAAACUACCUUGCUAGAGGAUUUGAGGGGGGAUUGGAAUACUUGGUGUAGCAGUGAAAUGCGUAGAUAUGAAGUGGAACACCAGUGGCGAAGGCGAAUCCCUGGAAAAUACCUGACACUGAGGCACGAAAGCUAGGGGAGCAAACAGG